UCUCUGUAAAGGAAGGCACGUCGCUUCAAGACCAGAGGGGAGUAAAGGACCAGGAGAAGAGGAGAGAAGGAUAAAUAAGAGAACAGGAGAGAAUGAAGAGAGAGACAAAGGAUCUGAUAGUCAUUUAGAAGAAGAGAAGGAGAGAAGGAUAGAUAAGAGAAAAGGAGAGAAAGAGGAAUAUAAAGGAUCUGUUAGUCAUUUAGAAGGAGAGGAGAAAGAGAGAAGGAUAAAUAAGAGAACAGGAGAGAAUGAAGAGAGAGAGAGAAAUAAACAACCACUUAGUCAUUUAGAAGCGACAAAACAAGGCAAAGGAACACAGAACACUGCCAGAUUGACCCCACAAACUACUGAAGGACUUACUCACAGACAAAGUACACAAGGCAAAGGAUUCUCAAAGGACUCUAGGGUGAACAGUACCACAGAAAACGGAGGUAGAGGGUUGGUUAAGGAUUCAGACACCACUCCGGCCUUAGUGGAGGGUUACAAAGGACUCAGUAAAGGAUUAGCGAAGGAUUCCAGUCGUUUAGGAAGAGGGAGUGUAGGAGAGGAGGUGAAGGAGGAGGAGGAAGGAAAGGUAAAGGAACAUAAAGGAUUGCAAAGGAACAACAACAACAACAACAACAACAACAACAACAGCAGCAGGAUUCUUGUUCUUUCUUCGGCACCUCCACCCCCCCUCCCUGAGCCCCCGGACCCCCCCAAAGGUUACGACGUGGCCGCCUCUCGUCUGGUGGAGCAGCUGAUGGGCGAGGCCAGGGAGGUGACGCCCCCCGCUGCCGUGCCGGACACUGACCCCCUCCUCCGCUCCCUGCCCCCCCCAAAAGUUUCUGAGUAUAAAGUGGCCUUCAGCUCACGGCCACGUCUUGCAAGGACACCCCCUGGAUCUGCAGGCUCCCUACGCCCCUCCAGCCCACGCCAUGUCUUGCCCCCCAUCGCCAGAGCCACCCACGCCCAUCCCCGCGCCGCCACCUGACCCAUGGAAGGCGUGGGAAAGGGGCAAAAUGGGUCAAAAUGGGCGCCGUUCAGAAUACAAGUGUUUACCUUUAAAUUUCCCCAAGAAGCUCCGUUUUCUGUGAUGAGAGGGAGGGUUUGUGUAAAGAUGUCGUUGUUUUUAUUGUUUUUCGUUGUUUUUAGCGUUGUUUUGAGUGUGUCUUUGUGGAAAAUGGAGAAAUAUAUCGUGUUUUGGUGUGUGUUCUUA
Long non-coding RNA from Portunus trituberculatus (swimming crab), 1198 nucleotides. RefSeq lists it as uncharacterized. The transcript has 3 exons. The record is from RefSeq and is a predicted model, not a curated record. NCBI's taxonomy places the organism in Eukaryota, Metazoa, Arthropoda, Malacostraca, Decapoda, Portunidae.